UUCAAAGAAAGGAACGAUGUGGACCUGACCUCAAAGAAAUCCAUUGGAGAAUAUGACAGAUUUAGAUUUAAUGAUCAACUUUACUUUUCCUAUACAGAUGGGAAAACAGCCUGCAAAAAUGUUAAGUAGCUUCCUCAGGAUCAAGUACUAUUGGAGCCAGCAUUGGUGGUCAAUCCUGUAUAGAAAUGACUUCAGUUGUAGAUCUGUGACCUUCCUUACUUACCUUCCUCUACCAAAGUGGGUCAACCAAAACCGCAUGGCGUACUACUCUCUGAAGCCUCUACUACCCUGCUCCUCCGUGUUGACAUGUGGUCAGGCAAGCCAGGACUUACUCACAUCAGCUACAUCAGUUACUGGGAUGGAGAAAAUUGAAGCCUAGAAAGAUCAAGAAACUUUCUCCAGGCCAUAAAUAGAGGAAUCAGGAUUCAAAUCAGAUAGACCCCAGGGCUUGUUCUCUUCAACACCACAUUACCCUACAUUAUUAUUCAAUUAUUAAAUAAAACCUUGCAUUAGUGGCAUUUCCAAAUGCAUAACAAAAAAAUAAAAAAAAGUAACACUGGUCAAAAAAAAAAAAAAA
This 577-nucleotide long non-coding RNA is filed under the name Homo sapiens (human). RNAcentral's name for it is "KCNQ5 intronic transcript 1 (KCNQ5-IT1)". Lineage: Eukaryota; Metazoa; Chordata; Mammalia; Primates; Hominidae. The record is from RNAcentral.